Long non-coding RNA from Rhododendron vialii, 836 nucleotides. RefSeq lists it as uncharacterized. NCBI's taxonomy places the organism in Eukaryota, Viridiplantae, Streptophyta, Magnoliopsida, Ericales, Ericaceae. The transcript has 2 exons. The record is from RefSeq and is a predicted model, not a curated record.
UUCGCAACACAUCUAUAUAGUGGAAUAUUGGAACGAAUAAAGUGUGAAACACUGAAUCGGAUCCUAUUUUCGAAAAACAAAAUAAAAUCACUCUCCUAAACGAAUUUCUACAUUUUUAGACCCAAUUUGCAUGCCUUUCCGGACGUUUUUCAAUAAUCGAGACUGUUUAAGUUUUACAACGCUUUAAUUUCAUCAAUCUAGGAAAAAAUUAGAUCCAUCCGAUAUCGUUUGGUAAAUUUUCUCAACACAUUCAUAUUGUGGAAUAUUGGAAGAAUUUUAAGUGUGAAACACUGAAUCGCAACCUAUUUUUGAUUCUUUCUGGCGCCUCCGUAACGCUAUUCUCUAUUUAAUUGCUGCCCAUUAACUGUUUGAUGAAAUGUCUCGCUCACUUCAACUCCAGUUAGAAGUAAUGGGAUUAUGCUUUGUUAUGUGCAGACAUUGCCGCCAUUGGAAGGUGCUCACAGGGACCACGGCAAAGAACCGCAAAAGGGAUGAAUUUGGUGUCCCUACUUGACCAGAUUGUUGGGCUUUGUUUAACCCGGUGGAAAAACCAAGCAUUAAAAUGGGAAGGCGAUCAGUGCCGUCAAAGAGGAAGCUGAAUUCUUGUGUCUCCUCUGAGUUGGUUAUUCAUAGUGGAAGUGCGGCUUCAAGGACCAUCUACCAAAUGGAGGCAAAUUUCGGGUUAUUAGCUGGGAAUUGUCGAAUGGGUUUAUUUUGGUUACUUGUAUCAGCAAUCUCUUUUAGUUUUUCUCAGUUAACUUCUUGUCUUAGUCCCUUUAAUCAUUGUACCUCCUACAUUUAAUGAAUAAAUUCUUUUUUGCCGUUCAAAAAAAAAA